GAUAGGCAGGAAAGAAAUGGCAGAAACAAAACCAACAAAGAAUCAGAUUAAAGACACAAGAAUUUCAGGUUUUUCGGGACAAAAUUUCAUCAACCAAUGCAGGGAAUUUAACCCCGAGUCAAUCUGCCAUUACAAGAGGAAAUAUUACAGUGUUUAUCUUACACAAAACAACACCACUCAUCACCCAACCGAGAAUAACCAGAAAGCUUCCAGAAAGUUUACAAGAAUUGCCCGCAGAGAGCUUUCUCUCUCAAUCCUACUUUCACUCUCUACAGAAAAUGUGCUCCCCACAUUUUCUUGUCCACACCCUUUCACGUAUCAGAACUGGUCCUACUUAUAGCCACAGAUCAAGAGACUUACAAGAAUAUGUGUGUAAUAUUCAGCUAAAAUAACUACCAGAAAAUUAGUUAAAACCAAAGGCUCCUAACUGAUUUUCUAACUCACUAACUAAUCCAACUAAUGAGUUUAAUAACUGAAUCAAGAAUCAAUAUUUUCUCUACAAAUACUAGGGAGGUUUUUAUUCCUCACAUUCUCCGGUAUAGAUGAAAAAGAUGGUGGUAUAGAAGUAAG
This 570-nucleotide long non-coding RNA is filed under the name Olea europaea subsp. europaea. The record is from RNAcentral. Lineage: Eukaryota; Viridiplantae; Streptophyta; Magnoliopsida; Lamiales; Oleaceae.